AACUAACAAAAAAAAGGACCCAUUUUGUCACCAUCUUCUUCUCCAUAUUUUGGAUAUAUACGCACAAAAGAGGGAAUUUUUUUUUUUGGUUUUCAGGGAGCAAGAACAAUAUAAAAACCCACAUCAUCAUCUCCAUUUUCUCUUCUACACAUACAUACAGAAUAACACACACACGACUCACAAUUCCAAUCAAACACAACAACCAAAUUCACCUGCUACCCAUUUUUUCCAUUUCAGUGAAUAUACAUCACUCUUCCUCACCUCAUAACAACAAUUCACGCACACCACUCCAUCGUCACACACACAGAAAGCUGCGGGGCAGAGAAAUCUGUGAGAGGGAGAGAGAGAGGCGAACGAAGGGUUGACUGGGAAAAGGGAGAAAUAUACAGGGAACAUAAUUAUACAGGGGGAUUCGAUUGGGUUUUUCUUCUCCUAGAUAGCCAUCGUUUUUUCAGGAGGAAAUUCCAUUUUUUUAUCUAUAUAUAGACGCACACACCCAGAUCGAGAGAGAGAGAGAGUGAGGAAUCGAGUGAGAAAGAGGGAAAAACAGAAGAGAGAAGGAUCGAAAACAAUAUCCCUUCGCCGAAAAAACUUUAUUUUCCAUCUAUUUCAGCUUGUUUCGGUCAACGUUGGAGCUCACCGGAGUUCUAACAAAACGAUAGUUGUGGAUUCUGACCCAAACUCAAUUCGAAUCAGUCAAGUUUGACCAAUUUUGGGUCGAUUCUGGUAAGGUUUUGUCGGAAGCAAUUCUAAUUGUCAAUAUCUAAUUGUUAAUCACUGUUAAGGUCAUGUCAAUCACUGUAGGUGAAAAAUCCGAUUUGAUUUGGGGGCGGAAGUUAAAAGUUGAUAAGGUAAGUAUCGUUGUUUUGAUUCAUUGAUAUCGAACUUGAUAGUAUCAUGAUCGGUCGAGUGGGUAGGCAACCGUAGGUUCGGGUAGGCGAAAUUUAGGAUGAAAGUGUUUUGUUGAAAUGUGUUGGUCUAUGUUUUCGGAUUGAAAUGUAUCCAUUCAGCCGGGGAAUGCCCCGACGUAUCAUGUUGGCGUAGGCGGAUCGUGAUCAAGGCCUGAGGCAUCGGGUAAAUCACCAGAGCGUAGUUAGGAUUAGUGUAGGUUAGAUAGUAUUUAUUUUUGCAUUUUUCUAUUUUGGACUGUAUAAAUUGGACUGGACACUGUACUUUUGAUUCGUUUUGUUUUGUUUGUUUGAUUGAUUGUUUUUUUGUGUGGUUUAUACAUUCUUAGUGUCAAGUUAGCUGAUACGCUCCACCAAGCGACCGUGGUUAAACCACGGGAUCGAGGGGUGCCUAACAACUUCCCCUCGGUCAACAGAAUUCCUUAGCCGGAAUCUCUGUUCGCGGAUUAGUUUUAGAGUCAAAAUCGUUUUGAAAAGGAUUUCCCAAUGGUGACUUGACACACUAGAUUAUGCCAAGUGGCGACUCUGAGUUUUUAAAUGUAAAAAUAAUCCUUUUUCAGAACAAAUCUUCAUUUUGUCACUUUAAUAAUAUAAACCCUUUCGACCCUUAAAAUCCAAUCUUUUGGAGUAUGAAAAAAAGGGUGUGACAAAAGCCUUACUUAAAAAAGAGGAGGAAGCUUUUAAGAAUUUUCCUUUUUUUGCGAAUUUAAUUUUUUAAAAAUGUUUGAUUAUAUUGUUUACAAAUAUAAAUGUUUCAAACAUUUAUGUAAUUUCAUAAUUUUCUAAAUGGUAGAUCUCCGUGAAAGUAGCAAUUUUUGUCCAAUUUUUAAUUAACCAGAAUUAUUAUGCCCACUUAUUUUGAAAUUGAGAAUGUUAUUGGUAUUCUUUUAUACAUAAUUUUCC
Molecule: long non-coding RNA, 1811 nt
Filed under: Capsicum annuum
Lineage: Eukaryota; Viridiplantae; Streptophyta; Magnoliopsida; Solanales; Solanaceae
Description: long non-coding RNA (CANN_LNC000119)
Source: RNAcentral